GAUCAGGUAGGGAUACCCGCUGAACUUAAGCAUAUCAAUAAGUCGGAGG
This 49-nucleotide ribosomal RNA is filed under the name Neofusicoccum parvum. Its description in RNAcentral is "partial 28S ribosomal RNA". Lineage: Eukaryota; Fungi; Ascomycota; Dothideomycetes; Botryosphaeriales; Botryosphaeriaceae. The record is from RNAcentral.